Molecule: ribosomal RNA, 449 nt
Filed under: uncultured bacterium
Lineage: Bacteria
Description: bacterial SSU rRNA
Rfam family: Bacterial small subunit ribosomal RNA
Source: RNAcentral
UGGGGAAUAUUGGACAAUGGGGGCAACCCUGAUCCAGCGAUGCCGCGUGUGUGAAGAAGGCCUGCGGGUUGUAAAGCACUUUAGUUGGGGAGGAAGGAGUGGAUGCGAAUAGCAUUUACUUUUGACGGUACCCAAAGAAUAAGCACCGGCUAACUCUGUGCCAGCAGCCGCGGUAAUACAGAGGGUGCGAGCGUUAAUCGGAAUUACUGGGCGUAAAGGGCGCGUAGGUGGGUGAAUAAGUCAGAUGUGAAAGCCCUGGGCUUAACCUAGGAAUGGCAUUUGAUACUAUUUGUCUAGAGUGGAGUAGAGGGUAGCGGAAUUCUCGGUGUAGCGGUGAAAUGCGUAGAUAUCGGGAAGAACACCAGUGGCGAAGGCGGCUACCUGGGCUCCAACUGACACUGAGGCGCGAAAGCGUGGGGAGCGAACAGGAUUAGAUACCCCCGUAGUCC